Molecule: non-coding RNA, 75 nt
Organism: Podarcis lilfordi (Lilford's wall lizard)
Lineage: Eukaryota; Metazoa; Chordata; Lepidosauria; Squamata; Lacertidae
Source: the annotation of a GenBank genome assembly
ACCCUGGGAUAGCUCAGCCGGUAGAGCAUCAGACUCUUAAUCUCAGAGUCGUGGGUUCAAAGCCCACAUUGGGCA